AGAAGCGGGGGACGGGGGAGUAAUGUGUGGGAAACUGCCUGAUGGAGGGGGAUAACUACUGGAAACGGUGGCUAAUACCCCAUAAAGUCGCUACACCCCAGAGGGGGGGCUUCUGGCCUCUUGCCAUCUCAUGUGCCCCCAUGGGAUUAUCUAUUAUGUGGGGUAACGGGUCUCCUAAGCGACAAUCCCUAUCUGUGCUGAGAGGAUGACCCCCCACACUGUAACUGAGACACGGUCCACACUCCUACAGGAGGCACCACUGGGGAAUAUUGCACAAUGGGCGCAAGCCUGAUGCACCC
RNAcentral lists this ribosomal RNA (299 nucleotides) under Enterobacteriaceae bacterium. RNAcentral describes it as "partial 16S ribosomal RNA". It matches the Rfam family "Bacterial small subunit ribosomal RNA", at positions 91 to 390 of the family's 1533-position model. The record is from RNAcentral. Lineage: Bacteria; Pseudomonadati; Pseudomonadota; Gammaproteobacteria; Enterobacterales; Enterobacteriaceae.